Molecule: long non-coding RNA, 542 nt
Organism: Leptidea sinapis
Lineage: Eukaryota; Metazoa; Arthropoda; Insecta; Lepidoptera; Pieridae
Exons: 4
Source: RefSeq, a predicted model, not a curated record
UUUUGAUCGAAUUUCCUUUAUUGUAUAAACUUAUAGUAUCAGAUUGCGCAUUUUGUUACGCAGUGAAUGACUUUCAGAAAUUGUUUUGCAGAAUUAACUUUAGUUUAUGAAAUAGAAGAUGUAAAACAUUUGAAAGUCCAAAGUACAGUUGAUAUCCGUCACUCCUGGAUGUUAAUAGAACGAAGCAUCUUGCAAAUGAAUUACUGGCGCAAAAUUAACAAGGCAUAAAUCAAAUACUCCGAAGAGUUAAUUGAAAAACGUGAAUUGUUUUAAAAAUUGCAAAAUUGAAUUAGAAGUGAAAAGGUUGGAUUAAAUUUACGAUCGAGGCUGAAAGGAGCUGAUAAUGAAAUUUGUUUACAUUUUUACUUUACUCAUGAUUACUAUGAUUAAUGUUGAAGCGCAGGUACCAUACGACUAUAUACCUAUAGGUAGAGCAGCCAGACGGGAUUUGCCAAAACCUCAUCCGUCGGACGUGAAUAUGGUGUAUGAAAAGUUAUUCCCUUCUCGUCGCAGAUAUCUUGAUUAGAUGACUUACCAAAAUC